UUUGGACUUGUUCCAGAGUUUGGGAUUGUUUAAUAAGGACGUCAGGCUGGAGAAAGGAACACUACUUUGUUGUUUUCUCUAAACACAAACACAGUACAGCUCAUUGAAGGGUCUCACUGCACUGUGGAGAAAGCUCUCAAGGGAAAGUGCUUUAUAACCCUCCUCCGCUUGUUGAUGACACCCAGGUUUGAAACCACGGGGAAAGCAACCAUCUCUGCCUUCGGCAGGAUAGAUUGACCCAACUAAAUGCACAAUCCAGAAUCCACUAUCCUCCAUGGAGGCAGACACCGCCAAGGACAAGCACCUGGAUUCAUUAUCUCCUCUCCGCAAAGAGAUACAGGCUGGUGGGAAAGCUGCUGACCAGCAAGGUCACAGUCUUCCUCCUCUCUGCAAGUGUCUCAAGGCCAAAGACAGGCUGGUGGGAAAGCUCUGACCAGCAAGGCCAUAUGCUCCCCCUCCCCUACCUAAAACCCCAAAUAAAGCCCUUCCUUUCAGCUUUUUGGGGAGUUUGGGAUUUCAGCGUUAGCUGCCCUCUCUCCUUGCUCAGCGCUGUGCAAAAAUAAAGUUCCUACUUUCUUCCAC
RNAcentral lists this long non-coding RNA (582 nucleotides) under Equus caballus (horse). RNAcentral's name for it is "lncRNA (ENSECAG00000050012.1)". Lineage: Eukaryota; Metazoa; Chordata; Mammalia; Perissodactyla; Equidae. The record is from RNAcentral.